GCCACUUUUUUGCCCAAAAUCUUGAAGUUCCGGCCACUACCACCCCCACAAUACCUACAUCAACAGAUAGAACUCAUCAAGACCUACCUAUUGAUGUCAACUCCAUCUCGAAAAUCCGGCAACUAAAAAUCCGGCUAAAUUCCGGCGACCACCCCGAACACCCUCAAUUGAUUCUUGAUAAUAAUAAGAAGGAUUUGGUCCCGGUUUGGUUGAUGGAACAUAUUAGAUCUGAUUUUGUUUCAAGAUGAAUGUUAUAUUAGUGUUAUCAUCAUGUAAAUCUGUUAAAAAUUAGUUAAAUUAUCGUUUUCUUCUUUAUAUAUGUGAUUGAAAUUGCAUUA
Nicotiana tabacum (common tobacco) is the source of this 338-nucleotide non-coding RNA. The record is from RefSeq and is a predicted model, not a curated record. NCBI's taxonomy places the organism in Eukaryota, Viridiplantae, Streptophyta, Magnoliopsida, Solanales, Solanaceae.